AGAGAUGUGUGAUGACGCAUAUCAAUAAGCGGAGGAAAAGAAACUAACAAGGAUUCCCUUAGUAACGGCGAGUGAAGCGGGAAGAGCUCAAAUUUGAAAUCUUCAAGGUUCUACCUUGACGAAUUGUAGUUUAUAGAAGUGUUUUCUGUUAGUGGAGUGGCAAAAGUUCUUUGGAAUAGGACAUCAUAGAGGGUGAGAAUCCCGUAUUUGGUCAUUCCUCCUAGCGUUGUGAUACACUUUCAACGAGUCGGAUUGUUUGGGAAUGCAGUCCAAAAUGGGUGGUAAAUUUCAUCUAAAGCUAAAUAUUGGCGAGAGACCGAUAGCGAACAAGUACCGUGAGGGAAAGAUGAAAAGAACUUUGAAAAGAGAGUUAAACAGUACGUGAAAUUGUCAAAAGGGAAGCGUUUGACACCAGUGUUGUUUUUCCGAAAAUCAAUUACGAAUGUUUUGUUUUUAAGAAGUUAUGACUUCAUCGGCUCGCUUCUCUCUUUACGAAACUUUCUUAAUGCACUUUUCGGUUAACAAGUCAACAUCAAUUUCUUUUGUUGUAAAAGGGUAUGAGGAAGGUGGCUUUCUUUUCGGAGAAAGUGUUUAUAGCCUUGUAGCCUCUGCAAUCGGAGAGAUUGAGGUCUGCAGCGUAGAUCCUUCGGGGUUAGAUACAUUUGUGCUAAGUUAUAGCUUUUCAUAGACAACUUGUUGACUAUGUUUAGUCUUGUAGCUUACUCGCUUAUGCUAUUUUACCUACGCUUAGGAUGUUGAUAGUCACAGCGUGUAC
This 775-nucleotide ribosomal RNA is filed under the name uncultured Neocallimastigales. Its description in RNAcentral is "partial large subunit ribosomal RNA". It matches the Rfam family "Eukaryotic large subunit ribosomal RNA", at positions 23 to 644 of the family's 3401-position model. The record is from RNAcentral. Lineage: Eukaryota; Fungi; Neocallimastigomycota; Neocallimastigomycetes; Neocallimastigales.